This 464-nucleotide ribosomal RNA is filed under the name uncultured bacterium. RNAcentral describes it as "partial 16S ribosomal RNA". It matches the Rfam family "Bacterial small subunit ribosomal RNA", at positions 29 to 507 of the family's 1533-position model. The record is from RNAcentral.
ACGAACGCUGGCGGCGUGCUUCACACAUGCCAGUCGAACGGAAAGGCCCUGCUUGCAGGGUACUCGAGUGGCGAACGGGUGAGUAACACGUGGGUGAUCUGCCCUGCACUUCGGGAUAAGCCUGGGAAACUGGGUCUAAUACCGGAUAGGAGCCAUUUUUAGUGUGAUGGUUGGAAAGUUUUUUCGGUGUAGGAUGAGCUCGCGGCCUAUCAGCUUGUUGGUGGGGUAAUGGCCUACCAAGGCGGCGACGGGUAGCCGGCCUGAGAGGGUGGACGGCCACAUUGGGACUGAGAGACGGCCCAGACUCCUACGGGAGGCAGCAGUGGGGAAUAUUGCACAAUGGGCGCAAGCCUGAUGCAGCGACGCCGCGUGGGGGAUGACGGCCUUCGGGUUGUAAACUCCUUUCGCUAGGGACGAAGCUUUUUGUGACGGUACCUAGAGAAGAAGCACCGGCUAACUACGUG